AUUUUAUACUUUUAUCUUAUUUCAGUGACUUGUGUUUGCCUAAAAUAUUUUAUAUCUUUGGGAGAAAACAAAAAUUACAGCAGCUUGUGAAGGCCACAGAAAGACAAGUUUAACUGGAGUACAACUGUCAAGAAAUUUUUUCAACAAACA
Oxyura jamaicensis (ruddy duck) is the source of this 150-nucleotide long non-coding RNA. RefSeq lists it as uncharacterized. The record is from RefSeq and is a predicted model, not a curated record. Lineage: Eukaryota; Metazoa; Chordata; Aves; Anseriformes; Anatidae. The transcript has 3 exons.